RNAcentral lists this ribosomal RNA (916 nucleotides) under uncultured bacterium. RNAcentral's name for it is "bacterial SSU rRNA". It matches the Rfam family "Bacterial small subunit ribosomal RNA", at positions 33 to 966 of the family's 1533-position model. The record is from RNAcentral.
ACGCUGGCGGCGUGCCUAAUACAUGCAAGUCGAACGGACAAGUAAGAGCUUGCUCUUAUGAGUUAGUGGCGCACGGGUGAGUAAUGUAUAGCUAAUCUGCCCUACACUAGAGGACAACAGUUGGAAACGACUGCUAAUACUCUAUACUCCUAUCUAACAUAAGUUAGAUAGGGAAAGUUUUUCGGUGUAGGAUGAGGCUAUAUUGUAUCAGCUAGUUGGUGAGGUAAUGGCUCACCAAGGCUAUGACGCAUAACUGGUCUGAGAGGAUGAUCAGUCACACUGGAACUGAGACACGGUCCAGACUCCUACGGGAGGCAGCAGUAGGGAAUAUUGCUCAAUGGGGGAAACCCUGAAGCAGCAACGCCGCGUGGAGGAUGACACUUUUCGGAGCGUAAACUCCUUUUGUUAGGGAAGAACAAUGACGGUACCUAACGAAUAAGCACCGGCUAACUCCGUGCCAGCAGCCGCGGUAAUACGGAGGGUGCAAGCGUUACUCGGAAUCACUGGGCGUAAAGGACGCGUAGGCGGAUUAUCAAGUCUCUUGUGAAAUCCUAUGGCUUAACCAUAGAACUGCUUGGGAAACUGAUAAUCUAGAGUGAGGGAGAGGCAGAUGGAAUUGGUGGUGUAGGGGUAAAAUCCGUAGAGAUCACCAGGAAUACCCAUUGCGAAGGCGAUCUGCUGGAACUCAACUGACGCUAAUGCGUGAAAGCGUGGGGAGCAAACAGGAUUAGAUACCCUGGUAGUCCACGCCCUAAACGAUGUAUACUAGUUGUUGCUAAGCUAGUCUUGGCAGUAAUGCACCUAACGGAUUAAGUAUACCGCCUGGGGAGUACGGUCGCAAGAUUAAAACUCAAAGGAAUAGACGGGGACCCGCACAAGCGGUGGAGCAUGUGGUUUAAUUCGAAGAUACGCGAAG